Non-coding RNA from Gasterosteus aculeatus aculeatus (three-spined stickleback), 215 nucleotides. NCBI's taxonomy places the organism in Eukaryota, Metazoa, Chordata, Actinopteri, Perciformes, Gasterosteidae. The record is from RefSeq and is a predicted model, not a curated record.
GGCGCCCAGGACCUGAUGGAGGACGAGGAGACGGAGGCCGCGGACGAAGACGAGGACGACGAGGCGGAAGUGGAGGACGACGAGAACGUGGAGCUGACGGAAGAAAAAGAGGAAGAGGAGGAGGCGUCGGUCGGAGAGGUGAAGGCGUCCCCCAACGCAGACACCACCAUCCUCUUCGUCAAAGGAGACGACUUCCCUGCCAAUGAAAUCGUGAA